Molecule: ribosomal RNA, 253 nt
Filed under: uncultured bacterium
Lineage: Bacteria
Description: partial 16S ribosomal RNA
Rfam family: Bacterial small subunit ribosomal RNA
Source: RNAcentral
UACGUAGGGUGCAGGCGUUAAUCGGAAUUACUGGGCGUAAAGGGCGCGUAGGCGGCAAUUCAAGUCAGCUGUGAAAUCUCCGGGCUUAACUCGGAACGGUCAGCUGAUACUGCUUUGCUAGAGUGCGGAAGGGGCAAUCGGAAUUCUCGGUGUAGCGGUGAAAUGCGUAGAUAUCGAGAGGAACACCUGAGGUGAAGACGGGUUGCUGGGCCGACACUGACGCUGAGGCGCGAAAGCCAGGGUAGCAAACGGG